RNAcentral lists this ribosomal RNA (1785 nucleotides) under Triticum aestivum (bread wheat). RNAcentral describes it as "partial small subunit ribosomal RNA". Lineage: Eukaryota; Viridiplantae; Streptophyta; Magnoliopsida; Poales; Poaceae. The record is from RNAcentral.
AUGGUGGACUGGACUAGCGAUAACGAUGAUAGUGAUAAGUUUGAGUGGGAAAGUGAUGGUGAGGCUGAACCCUCAUCAGCUCCGGCCUUCAGGAACUUGGAUGCCGCUGGUCCUUCCACGCUGGAUUCUAAUGGGUGGGCCAACGAGGAAGCUCCACCCACUUCGUUAGUCGAGGGAUAUGUGUUAAUGGGUUUCCCGAAAGAGAUGGUCUUGAAGGGAAUUAAGGAGAUUGGGCACAGUGAUGCAAAUGCGUUGCUGGAACUACUUCUCACGUAUAAGACACUGGGUGAUGACGCUGCAGUGGGUAAUUGCUCUACUUCUGGCUGCUUCCCCCAGAGUGUUGAAGAUGAUGAUGAUUUUGAUUUUGAAAACUGGGAUGGAGACGAUGAUGCUGAUGGGAGAGAGCCCAACCCUGAUAGUUCUGGUGAUGAGGAUUUCCUAAGAGAGAUGUCAGAGAAGGACAACAAGAUCAAGUCCUUAGUAGACAUGGGCUUUCGUGAAGAUGAAGCAAAUAUGGCUAUUACCAGAUGUGGUAUGGAUGCCGCUCUCUCUGUAUUAGUUGAUUCAGUCUAUGCAUCACAGGCUGCAGGAGAUUGUCAUUAUGGGAACUUGUCUGACUAUGAGGUUACUGGUAGCUGGGGAGGGAGAAAGAGAGCAAGAUUGAUGGAAGAGAGCAAGAAAAAGCGGAAGCGGUAUGGAGGUGCAGCACAGCGACGGCCCUUGGAUGGUAGCCAUGAAGAACCAAUGCCUCUCCCAAAUCCAAUGGUUGGAUUUAACCUGCCUAAUGAUAGGCUACGAUCAGUGACCAGACGGCUUCCUCAACAAGCUAUUGGGCCACCUUUCUUCUACUAUGAAAAUGUGGCACUAGCUCCAAAAGGUGUAUGGGCGACAAUUUCAAGAUUCCUGUAUGACAUUGAGCCAGAGUUUGUGGAUUCUAAGCACUUGUGUGCAGCUGCUAGAAAAAGAGGCUACAUCCAUAAUUUGCCAAUUGAGAACAGAUUUCCUCUCCUGCCUCUACCUCCAAAGACUAUAUUUGAGGCUUUUCCUCAUUAUAAGAAGUGGUGGCCUUCUUGGGACCCGAGAAGGCAACUCAAUUGUUUGCAGACAAGCAUGUCAAGUGCAAAAUUGACAGAAAGAAUCCAAUGUGCUCUUGCAAGCUCAGGCAAUCCACCACCUAAAAGUGUUCAAAAGUAUGUCAUGGAUGAGUGCAGAAAAUGGAAUCUUGUCUGGGUUGGGAAGAACAAAGUUGCUCAUUUGGAGCCGGAUGAGGUAGAAUACCUGCUUGGUUUUCCAAGGGACCACACAAGGGGAGUUGGCAAAACAGAGAGGUUCAAAUCUCUUGGGAAUUCGUUCCAAGUAGAUACCGUUGCUUACCACCUGUCAGUGCUGAAGGACAUGUAUCCCAAUGGUGUUAAUGUGCUAUCUUUAUUCACUGGUAUCGGAGGAGGAGAGGUAGCACUUCACAGGCUUGGGAUCCACAUGAGGGCAGUAGUGUCUGUUGAGAUAGGCGAAGUUAAUAGGAGGAUUUUGAGGGGUUGGUGGGAUCAGACUCAAACUGGCACAUUAAUUGAGAUUGCUGACGUGAAAUCUCUUACUGAUGAUAGAAUUGCAACGUUUGUUAGAAGAUUUGGCGGCUUUGACUUGGUGAUUGGGGGUAGCCCAUGUAACAACCUUGCCGGCAGCAACAGGCACCACCGUGAUGGCUUGGAGGGCGAGCAAUCUGCUUUGUUCUACCACUACUUCAGAAUCGUGGAUGCUGUAAAGUCGGCUAUGGGGCGGAUGUAG